This 253-nucleotide ribosomal RNA is filed under the name uncultured prokaryote. RNAcentral's name for it is "partial 16S ribosomal RNA". It matches the Rfam family "Bacterial small subunit ribosomal RNA", at positions 525 to 777 of the family's 1533-position model. The record is from RNAcentral.
ACGAAGGGUGCAAGCGUUAAUCGGAAUUACUGGGCGUAAUGCGUGCGUAGGCGGUUCGUUAAGUCUGUCGUGAAAGCCCUGGGCUCAACCUGGGAAUGGCGAUGGAUACUGGCGAGCUAGAGUGUGAUAGAGGAUGGCGGAAUUCCCGGUGUAGCGGUGAAAUGCGUAGAGAUCGGGAGGAACAUCCGUGGCGAAGGCGGCCAUCUGGAUCAACACUGACGCUGAGGCACGAAAGCGUGGGGGGCAAACAGGA